RNAcentral lists this long non-coding RNA (1098 nucleotides) under Pogona vitticeps (central bearded dragon). Its description in RNAcentral is "lncRNA (ENSPVIG00000004137.1)". Lineage: Eukaryota; Metazoa; Chordata; Lepidosauria; Squamata; Agamidae. The record is from RNAcentral.
UUAAAGCGAUAGUAAAUUCCAUACCUGGUAAGAAGGAUAGCCAGGGGAAAAUGUUAGCAACUGCUUUUAUAUUGUCUCAGAUUAAUGAACUGAAGAGAAUGGGCCUCAAAUACCACAUUAGCAGCUAAGCAACUACAUUAUAACUUUUAAAACUAGAACUCACCUCAGGAUCAAAACGCACCUCCAACUUCUCCUGUUUUUUUCGGAUUACCUGUCCAGCUCCACGACUCAACGGAGACAGACUGGACAUUGUCAAACCAUCACACCUACAACUUUCCUUUGCUUUUGAGAAUAUAACAUUAAUUCAUUUUAGGGAAAUCUUAUAAAGCUAGACAAUACUAAGGGUGCCUCUCUUUAAAAACAGACACCCAUUUGCAAACCUGUGUUAUAUUCAUGCAUAGCCAGAAAUAUCAAGAAGACUUUUAUAGAAAGCUUGGCCAGUUUUGUUCCUAAAUUUUACUUUUUCUACCACCUAUUCUGUUUCUUCUGGUUUGGUUGGUCCAAGGAUCUGUGAAUCUCUGCUGCCGCCAUCCUCUUUAUUGUGCUCUGAGGUUGUUGCUAUGUUGCUAUGGCAGCAAAAGGAAAUUAAGUUGUUUAAGCCAGCAAGAGGGAAGUUUGGGAGGAGAGAGAGAGAAGGAAAGAAGGAAAGAACGAAGGAAAGAAAUAUAGAUUUUCGAAUGCUCCGGAUCAGAUUUCAAGACUAGAUUAACUCCCUUGGCUCAGGAUCAGAUUUCAAGACUGGAUUGUUGUGCAAAACACCCCUUUCCUUGUCAGCUUGAAGAAUGGGCCACAGACUUUUCAAAAGUCUAAAAUUACUAUUUUAACCUAUGAAAAGGAGUUUAGAGCUGAGCUUAUACAAACGGCAGCUGCUGUUCAUUUCAAAAGGUCUAUUCCCCUCAUUCAACAUCACUGUUUGUGCUCUGCUUCCGAAUAGGACACUUUUCUUUCCUGUUGCACAAAAUGCUCUGCCUCGUGAAAGAGGUUCACAAGUUUGUGAGCAGCAUCGGGUACAGAAGCAAGGAGGGACAGCGCCCCCCCCCCGUGCCAUGGGGACCACAGACAAGCCCUACAACAAGACUGACAGGACCAGAAAGGAAU